AUGUUUUAUCUGAUUUCAUCACAGUUUCCACAGAUGUCUUGGGGCCUUAAACAUUCUAUUGCCUAAAUGUGGUUGACAAUAUGAUUAAGCUUUGUCAAAUGCUUAGGCUACUGAUACGGUAAAGGUCAUGAUUAAAAUUGCAUUUUAACCCUCAUCUUUCUUCACUACAGCUAAUCACCAUAUCUGUUUAAGAAUGAGGAGUGUCGAAAUGAGUUUGCGAAAAGAUGACAUUAUAUUUGUCAAAUGCUUAGGCUACUGAUACGGUAAAGGUCAUGAUUAAAAUUGCAUUUUAACCCUCAUCUUUCUUCACUACAGCUAAUCACCAUAUCUGUUUAAGAAUGAGGAGUGUCGAAAUGAGUUUGCGAAAAGAUGACAUUAUUGAGAUGAUAGCUUUAUCAAAUGCUUAGGCUAAUGAGAAGGAUGACUUUGGUUUGGAUUUUGACUUUUGAAACCUAGCAUGAGAAAGGGAUAAACAUAUAAAGAUUUUUAUCUCCUUGCCUCCUUUUCUUAUCAGUUGCUUUGCGGAUGGCUGCAGAUAUAUAGUGAAAAGAGCCUGCAGAUAGAACAAAGCCAUCUUUUAGUUUCAAAUUCAUCCUUCAGGAUUAAGAUCAAUCUUCAAUAGAUCCUAAAUUUUAUUUUCACUGCAUUGGCACAAACCUCAAUUUUAUUUUCUCUGCAUUGGUACCAUGUGUCUGUUCAUCGCACUAACUUGUCAUGGAGUUGUUGAAAUCUGCAGUAACAUAUGGAAAUUAAUUUUAGUUAGAAGUUUUAAUAUGCAUUUUGGUAAUAUGACAUUGCAUGUAAUCUAGAAAUGUGUCUUUUCAAUGCAGCUAAGAGAGAAAUCUUGGUUUGCUAGUUCUAUAAAAUCAAGACUUCAGUACCUCGGUCCUAAUCCUGGUCUUCCUUGUCUAACCGAGCAACAUCCCAGUGAACUCUUUCUGGAUCCUUCUUCAGGCCCAGUCGCCGCCUUUUGCC
This 975-nucleotide long non-coding RNA is filed under the name Ricinus communis (castor bean). RNAcentral describes it as "long non-coding RNA (RCOM_LNC001598)". The record is from RNAcentral. Lineage: Eukaryota; Viridiplantae; Streptophyta; Magnoliopsida; Malpighiales; Euphorbiaceae.